Molecule: long non-coding RNA, 16312 nt
Filed under: Lynx pardinus (Iberian lynx)
Lineage: Eukaryota; Metazoa; Chordata; Mammalia; Carnivora; Felidae
Source: RNAcentral
UGAAUGUUUACUAUAAUUUGAGCAAAGGUAAGGUGAAUAGAGGCAUGUAUUUAAGAGAGUGGAUGGGGAGUUUUCAAUAUGAAGGAGGCCAUUUGGGAGUGCAAUACUAAAUCUAAAUACUCAGAUUUGGUUCUGAGUUUCCUGGAGGUAAGUUGAAAAUGGAAACACUGAAUUAGUAUUUGAAGUUUAUCAUAAAAACUUCAUCCAAACAUUAUACUUAAUUAAAAAAUGUCAGCUAUAUUAUAAUGGACAGUGUCUUCAAUAACACUUAUAAAAGAUAUGGGACAAUUCUUGAUAGAGUUCAUAUUAAAUCUUGGUUCUGUCUGAAUCAGCAUUUCUUUGGGAACCUAGAGCACGAGGGUUCAGUUAUGUUGUUGUAACAUGAUUUGAUUCAGGAUAGAGUUUAAAGUCUUUAAAGCAAUUGUUCUCAAGGGUGCCUGGGUGGCUCAGUCGGUUAAGUGUCCGACUCUUGAUUUUAGCUCAGGUCAUUAUCUCACAGCUUGUGAGAUCGGGCCCCACAUUGGGCUCUGUGCCAACAAUGUGGAGCCUGCUUGGGAUUCUGUCUCUCCCUCUCUGUCUGUUCCUCCCCUGCUCAUCUCUCUCUCUCAAAAAUUUAAAAAUGUUUAAAAAGCAAUUGUUCUCAAAUAUUAAUGUGAAAAUAAUUUACUACAAAGGUUUUUUUUUUCCUAAUGUAGAUCACUGUCCUCUCUCACCCUCAUCCUUCAAUCUAUAGGUCCAAGAUAGAGCCUAAGAGUCUGCAUUAUUAAUAAGCUCUGGUUGUGAUUCAGGUGGCCAGUGGGGCACAUCUGAAGCAACACCAACCUAGAAGAACAAAUUAUUCCUAUGCUCCUUAGCUUUGAUCUUCCCUUUGAAUAUAUAUUUUCUCAACUUGGUUUUGAUUAGCAGCCAAUAGCCUGAGAUUGAUUUUUCAGGGAAGACAGAGGAAAUGCAAAGGCUCUGGGUUGCUGAGAUUCAUAUACUUUAUUUAUCAGGCAUACAUGAAAUAACAAUGCUUAAUAAACUCAAACCUAGAGGAGUAAAGGGAGCCAUGAAAAAGACAGGAUAAGUGGAAGAGGAGAAGUCAUAAGGGCCACAUUGGAAACUCCAAAGCUAACCUUUGCUGCUUUGUCAUUUUCCAAGGCCCAGCCUUGUUUGGGUUCUGUGGUGCAUGGGGGAAUCUGUGCCUCACCUUGCUGUCUUUGCCUACAGUUUAUAUGAAGAUUUUCCUGGAAGUCCAUUCUGAAUCAGAGAGGUGGGGCUAAAUCGGGUGUCCAAUGGGGUUCUGUAGAUUCCCAAGGAUUCACAGUGGAAUUCAGGGACCCUGAACCUCCUGAAAUUAUACAUGAAUAUUUUGUGUGUAUAGGAAUAUGUGUAUUUUUGUGAAAGGAGGUUCCAAUUGCAACUUUCAUCAGUGCUCAAAGGGACCAUAAAUGACUGCAAAGAGUGAAAAACCACUGGGAGUCCCUGGCACAACCAAGGGUGCAUCAAGCUCUGUGUUCAUGUCGCAGUGCUCCAUCACAUUGCAGUCUAAGGUCAGUUAGCCGACAUCCUCCUUGGUGACAGCUAGGUCACUAAGUAUCUCUCCACAGGAGCACCCCUCCAUGCCCAAUCUGAGGAUUAUGGUAGCAAAGCUGUCAGGCUUAAUUUUGACAAAUUGUUUUGGGUAAUUAGUCCCUUUUAAUGGCUCGUGGAAAUAGUAAUUUUAGGUGACAAGAUUAUUAUAUGCUGCUUGUUAAUGGGUCCUCCAGGGUCAAGAAAACACCACUGGGAUUGCUAUGACCUGUUCUUUUCCAUCUUUGGCAUUCCCCUUGAAAGUAUCACAAAAGACGUUUAGUAAAGUCAGCUCCCACUCCGUGAAAAGUUCAGAGCAUGAGUUUCCUUUUAUCCUUUUGCCAAGUGAAGGAUUAGAGAAGGACUUUCAACUUUUCCCUGUUUCUGCCAGCCCAUGUCAGUCUUCACAGACUUGUUGAUCAUUAACUCGAAAAGCUGGGGAAGUUUCUAGCCCUUCCCUUUGCUUAUUUACCUGUUCAACCAAGUUGCUUUACAAGCGAGUGAGUUUUGAAUAAGUAGGGUAGGUCCUAGGUGAUAAAAUAUUUGACUCAGCUCAAGUUGAAUAUUUUCAUUGCUUCUCACUUCACUGAACAGGAAGGUCAGUUUGACCAGUAGGUCGGGGCAGGUCUGUGUAAUGGUUCAUCAUGUGUCUUCCCAGGGGAGCAGUGGAUGGAAAGGCAGAGAACUCUUCUCAGCACUUUAGGAGGCUGGGAAUUGACUGGCUAUUUACUAACUGUGUCAUUCUGGGCCAUUUAUUUGACCUCCUUAAGCCCUCAUUUCAUCAUCUGUCAAAAGGGGAUAAAAAUAAUAGCUAGCUCAUGGUACAGCCAUAAGGACUAAAUGAUAUCAUAAAUACCCAGCAUAUAACAAGAACUAAACCAAACAAAGAGCAUCUAUUAUCAUUAUGGCCCAUUUAUCCUUCCCAAAUCCAGAUCUUAUUAAGAAGUUUGAAAUAGUGGAGAAGUAAAAAAAGUAUUAUAUUCACACCCAACUUUAUCUCCAUGCCUUCCAAGCUUGUUAAUGUAGGCACAUCUAAUCCUGUGUACACUGAAAUGUAUAAUGGUUUAAAAUGAUGCAGACACGGGGCACCUGACUGGCUUAGUCAGAGAGCAUGUGACUCUUGACCUUGGGGUCAUUGAGUCUGAGCCCCACAUUAGGUGUAGGACGUACUUUAAAAAUAAAAUAAGAUGAUGCAGGUGAGGAUAGACCAUCACUACAUUGCUAUCUACUUAAAGUAGGUAACAUUGAUGUCAAUGUGUGUAACCACAUUCCUUGAAAUCAAAGAUUUCAUGUGAAAGUGACCAUAAAGAAUUUGUGGGGACCCAAUUUUUCUCUCUCGUUCUUCUUGGUGGAAAAAACCACAGACCCCACCUGCAUGGUGAUUUUUCAAAACUGAGUUUCAUUUUUUUUAAGGUGUUUGUUCUUCUCCCCUGGCUUCAUGUCUAAAGAUUUCAUUCCUAUUCUUCAGCCACUCAAUUUUAAUAAAUUUGCUCCUUCACGGAGCUGGUUCUUAAGUUUACGCAUUUUAUUUCAUAUUUUCCUUCUCAAAUUUCAUAAGGAUCAGUAAUCACGUUUAUUGGUGUUUCCUGAGGUCUGUGUUCAUACCUCUUCUGUAUUUACUCUGCUCUUUACCAAGGGCUACAGCAGGCAAACUCAAACAUUGCACCCCAGAGUAAAAUGUCAUCUCAGGAGUAAUGACUAGCUCUCCACUUCUACCCUCCUGUAAGAAGAUCCUUCUCUAAGAACCGGCAAUAGGAUAGAAAGCUGGAGCUUUGUGUGUCUAGAAUGAAAAAGAUCACCCCGUGUUCUUCUCCUGAACACAAACCUUUCCUGAACCUUACAAAGGAAAAAGGAGAGUACUUAAAACUAUCUCAGUUAAUUUAUUUAGAUGGGGUGUUUGCUGGAGUCCACAGAACUAUGAAUUAUAUGGAAGGCUAGAAGGUUCUGUGGGUUGUAUCUACAUAACAGGGAAAAUAACACAAAGUACAUAUGCUAGGGAGAUGAGAGUGUUUGUCUGAUGUUUCUGUACAAAAGAUAAACCCAUUUGUCCAGUAGAAGUGCUACCUGCUCUUCCAAUUGCUGUGGUGUGUGACAUGUCUUGACAGACUUAAAUGUGACCAGAUCAGCUUGCCCCAUGGUGUUUUAGCAGAGUAAUGGCAACAGCCUCAGCCCCUAAUCUCCAGCUUCAUCAGACAGCAGCUUAGAUUUCAGGACCAGAUGUUAUAACUAUGCAGCCUGAUCCUUCCCUGCAAGUUUGGGUAGUUCAAACUGCAGUGUUAAAGUCAUAUAUUAUUUGUGACAUUUCUAUAUAGGUCUCAUCAUGUGCUAAAAUCGUAAUAGAGUGGUUUUAUAAAACCCCUUUCUGUUGAAAAUUGAAUUUAUUGUAAAAGAAUUUAAUACUCACAUUAAAUUGAAUUCAAACUUCAUCUUGGAAUAAGUUAACUGAGUUAGUCUAAUAAUUAAAAAUUCAAAACUCCUGGAUUGUAACAUUUGGAGUUUCAUAUGCAGCAUUAAUUAAGCUCACAUCAAAAUAGAUUAGCCACUUGUAGAUACAGUUACCAGUCACUCUGUUUCUGAAACCAAUCCAGAAAUGUUGGAACAUUGUCAGGCACUUACUAGGUGUUGGACAAGUGACAGAAAUUGAUCAUGCACAUUUAGAAUAUUUACAGGAAAAAAAAAAUGUCAAUGUAAUGUAGGUCUAUAGCGAAAGCUACCCUUCAGGAAAUGUGAUCACACUUCUUUUCUGCCCCCCACCCAACCCCCUGCCCCUCCUGCAUGAUUUCAGUACACCACAGAAUAGGAUUAGAGGCUUAUGUUUGCCUAUGUUUGCGAUUUUAUCAUGGAAUAGAAUGACUCUAGACCACACAUUUAUAUGAAGAUGAAAACCCCAGGUAAUGCAGAGAAUGAUCCUCAUUUUUUUUUCAGAACUCACAAAUGACUAAAUUGUCUUCCAGUAAUUUUCUUUUCUUUUGAGAAAAUGUGUUUCAAGGAGGCUAUAUUUUUAAAUCUCAUUUCAAUAUUAACUUGAUUGAAUAGGCUGAGGAAUUAGUAACAACUGAGUUUAGACUUGAGUUCAAGAUGUUAGGGGCGCCUGGGUGACUCAAUCGGUUAAGCAUCUGACUCUCGGUUUUGGCUCAGGUCGUGAUCCCAUGGUUGGUGGGUUAAAGCCCCAAGUAGGGCUUUGCACUGACAGUGUGGAGCCUGCUUGGGAUUCUCUCUCCUCCUUUCCCUCUGCCCCUCGGUCACUCUCAAAAAAUGAGUAAAUAAACAUUAAAAAAAAAGAUGUUAAAGUUGUCAUUUUGUGUGGCAAUGCUUUGUAUGAGGUGCUACCACCUGGGAAGUUUUUAAAGCCUACACACUUAGACGUUGGGAAGCGUGGAUGGAGGAUGGCUGACAUGCUUCUACAGUGUAUGUCGUGUACAGAUACUUAUAUGCUUGUGGUUCAAGUAAAGUUUAAUUCCAUAAUAAAGAUUAUUUGCAUCCUGAAACUAUUGCCUCAUGAGUGACAGAGUGGAGGCACAGGGUGGGCUUCUCUAUUGGUGGUCAACAUGGUCUAGCCUGGUUGAAUCUAAAGGGGUCUGCUCCUGCUCAGAAAAAGUUAUUCUCUUUUAUAUUUUUUUUGUAUUUUUUCUGUAUUUAUUUUUAAGAUUUUAUUUUUAAGUGGGGUGCCUGAGUGGCUCAGUUGGUGAAGCAGCCAACUCUUGAUUUCAGCUUGGGUCAUGAUCUUACGGUUCAGGAGUUCGAGCCCCACAUCAGGCUCUGUGCUCACAGCAUGGACCCUGCUUCAGAUCCUCUUUAUGGCCCUCUCCCACUAGCACUCUCUCUCUCUCUCAAAAAUAAAUAAAUGUUAAAAAAAAAAUUUUAAGAUUUUAUUUUUAAGUAAUCUCCACACCCAACAUGGGGCUUGAACUCACAACCCCAAUAUCAAGAGUCACUCGCUCUACCAGCUGAGGUAGCCAGCCAGGUGCCCCAAGGAUUUUCUCUUUUAAUCAGUGACAAUAAACAACAUCCUGUGAGGUGCAUCCAUUUGGGAACUUCUUCUGGCAGUUAGGUGUGCUUGGAGUGAGAUUCUUAAAGUACCCCCAUAAUUGACCAUCAAAUAUAAAGAUCGGAGCUAAAAGUAAUGUAGAAGAACACUGCAGUCACUAGUCAAGUUUUCACUUUGUUUCAUAAUUUUUUUAAACCAAGUGGAAUACUUUAUAAUUUUCUCCAUAAGCCUUCAGGUUGAACUUUUACCUGUCUGCUCCUGGGAAAUCUCCUUUAUUUUCCUUUUUACUGGAAGAAGGGGAGGUUAAGAAAGACAGAGAAGAAAGAACUAAUUGCAGUUAAUCCUCCUCUCAACCCCUGAUUGGGAGUGUGUGUAUGCCCACCCACCUAAGUCUGUAUAUGUGUUUUCCCCACUAGUAUUUCCUAUCUCAGAAAAUGGUAUCAGUUGAACAAGCAAGAGACCUGGGAAACCUCUUUGAUGAUUCUUUCUCCUUCCAAUCAAUCACCAUAUCCUAUUAAUUGAUUCUCCUAAAUGUUUCUCCAAUCUGUCCACUGCCUUCUGAAUCUUCAAACCGGAUUCCUCCGAGCCAACCUCGCCCUCAGCCUCCCACAGCGCCCUCUACUGCCUCCUCAAAGCAGUCACCACAGCUUGCAAUUAUGUUGUGAUUUGGGUCAUUAUUUAAUUAAUGUCUACUGCCUAGAUUAUAAGGUUCUCGAGGGCAAAGUGUGUACCUGUUUUAUUUACUGAUGUACCCUAAAAACCUAAAACAGUGCCUGUCACAUACUAGGUACUCAAAAAAUAUUUGUUAAAUGAAGAAUGAAUCUUCUUGAUAGCAUUUCCCUUAUAAACUCUCACUAAAAUGUCCCUAAUCUUUGCGAGACUCAUCCUUUCCUCUGUCAGUCCCUUGUCAGAUGGCUCCCCCGACUGUCCUUCUUAAUGCAUUUCACGUACUAUCAGUGUAGAGUUGUGAUGUCUAGAACCUCGUGUUUUCUCCUACAGCACAUGGCUUUCCUUGUCAAAACCAAACCCCAGAGUCAACUUUGGGAAGUUCUCCAAGCUUAGCUCCCUCUCAGCCCAUAAUAAUUUCCCUUCUUUUUCACUUAGAAUUGGGGUUGCACUAAGAAGAUACCGAUUUGUUCGCAUUCAUAUAUCGUGUUGAGAACAUUCAUCCUUUUUCAUGAAUUUGGGUUAUGACCACCCAGAUUGUCCUCACUUGAAAGGCCUGUGUGUCCCUUCUAUCCUUAGACUGUUAUGGAGUUUAGUCCUCUGUAGGCAGUCUUGGACUGUUCAACUAUGCCUGCCCUAUGCCUAGACACUGGCUUUUCACCUCACUUCUAAUUCCAUCUUUUCCACUCAUUUAAUCUUGCUUUCCUUGAACACUCUUCAAGAAACAGAAAGGCUUGCAAAAACUCUCUUCUGGUUAUUUCUAUGUAUGGGUGCUCAUGUGCAUUUUUUGAUAUGUUUGUUCCUCUGUUCAUUCGUUAUAAAUACAUAUCCCUCCUUCUUCCCAGAAAUAACUAGGAACAGUUUAUAAGGAUAAAUAAAGCAUAUCAAGAUAGUAUAGGUUAGAUAGAAUAAGUGGAAAAGAAAAGGGAAAAGUGAAGGGAAAGGGCAUCACUGACACAGAGCCUGGAACUGAUACUGGGUUGCAUAGAUGCAUCCCAUGUAGUCUAUGCAUUGGCAGAUGGCAGGCCCUAAUAUGGUUCUGGGCUGGCUAGCAUUGUUUCAUAAAUAGAAAAAUAUACAGUGUCUUUAAGAUAAGAUGUGAACUAAUAAUUAGGAGAAGAACAACUAGUCCCGAUUCUAAGAGAUCACAGUGUAGUGUAGCAAGGAGUGUGGGCCCCAUCGCAGAUGGCCUGGGUGUGGGUGUGCGGUGGGCAGUGGGUCAAUGCAUCUACUCCAGGUGGUUCUCAACACUACUGCACAUUUGGAUCACCAGGGAAGCCCUGAAAAAACACUAUUUGGGCCCCUUCUUCAGGCCAACAAAAUAAGAAUCUCCGGGAAUGGGACUGGAAAGCCCUAUCUAAAAAAUUUCCCCUGGUUAUUUGCAGGUGGGGUCAAGAGCCAAUGUUUAGAAGAAUGGAUAGACUAUGAGUAUGGCAAGGCAUUCCCCUGGGUGAACUUCUACAAGUUUUCAGAAUAUUGUUCCUCAAUGUCAGGAACAGUAUACAUAUUUUUUAAUUGAGGGAUAAUUGAUAGAUAAAAUUGUAUAUAUUUUAAGUAUACAGUGUGAUAGUUUGAUAUACAUGUACAUUGUGAAGUGAUUACCACAAUCAAGUGAAUUGACACCAUCCAUUACCUCAUAUAGUUCCCUUUUUUACACUAGUAGAGAUCUGGAAAAAUACCUAAGUGUCCAUUGAUGAAUGAAUAAAGAGAAUGUGGCAUAUGUACACAAUGGAAUAAAAAGAAGGAAAUCCUGCCAUUUGUGACAACAGCGAUGAGACUGGAUGGCAUUCUGUUAAGUAAAAUAAACAGACAAAAAAGACAAAUACUGUAUAGUAUUACUGAUAUAUGGAAUAAUUUUUAAAAAGUCAAACUCAUAGAAACAGAGAAUAGAAUGGUGGUUACCUGGAACUAGGGGUGGGGGAAAUGGGGAGAUGUUGGCUAAAUUGGUCAAAGGAUACAGACUUUUAGUUAUGAGAUGAAUACGUUCUGGGGAUUAUACAUGGUGAUUAUAUUUAAUAAUGUAAUAUUGUAUACUUGAAAUUUGCUAUAAGAGUAAAUCCUGAGGCGCCUGGGUGGCUCAGUUGGUUAGGCCUCGGGCUCUUAAUUUCAGCUCAGGUCAUGAUUUCAUAAUAUGUGAGAUCGAGCCCCACAUCGGGCUCUGCACUGACAGUGCAGAGCCUGCUUGGGAUUCUCUCCCUCCCUCUCUCUGCCCCUCUCCUGUUCAUGCUUGCUCUCACGCCCUCUCUCAAAAUAAAUAAACAAACAUUUUAAAAAAUAAUUUAAAAAAUAAAUUUUAAAAAGAGUAAGCCUUAAGUGUCCUCACCAAAGAAUACAUUUUUUAAAACAGGAAUUUUUGUAUCCCCUCCAAAGGUUAUAUGUUGAAGCUCUGAUCCUCAGUGUGGCUGUGUUUGGAGAUGGGGCCUAUAAGAAAUUAUUAAGGUACAGGAGAUCAUAGGGUGGAUCUCUGAUUCGAUAGGAUUAGUGUACUUAUGAGAUAGGACACCAGAGAGUUCACUUUCUUUCUCUGUGUGUACACACUCACUGAGGAAAGGCGACGUGAGGACACGGUGAGAAGUUGGCCAUCUGCUUACCAGAUAUGGAGUAGGCUGGAAUCUUGAUCUGGGACUUCUAGUUUCCAGAACUGUGAGAGAAUACAUUUCUGCUGCUUAAGCCACCUAGUAUUUUGUCAGCUUGAGCUUAUUAAGACAUAUAUUCUAUAGGUAUAUAUAUAUAUACACACAUAUGUAAUGAAUUUAUGUGUAUACAUCAUUUACUCUCACAAUAUACCAGGCACAGUGCAUGUGUGUUUGUGUGUGUGUGUGUGUAUGUAUGUGUGUAGUAUAUGAAAAUAUAUAUACAAAAAUAAAAAACAAAAAGCAAAACCACCUUACAUAGAUAGAUACAGAGAGAUAGAAAAAUACAUAAAAGCAAAUACAUAGGGGCACCUGGGUGGUUUAGUCGGUUAAGCAUCCGACUUUGACUCAGGUCAUGAUCUCGCAGUUCACCAGUCUGAGCCCCGGGUCAGGCUGUGUGCUGACAGCUCAGAGCCUGGAGCCUGCUUUGGAUUCUGGGUCUCCCUUUCUCUCUGUGCCCCUCCUCUGCUCGUGCUGUCUCUGUCUCUCAAAAAUGAAUAAACAUUAUUCUUUUAAUUAAAAAAAAGCAAAUACAUAGCUGUCAACUUAAUUUUGCCCAAAUAUUAUCCCUUAACCAAACUUUCAAAGUAAUAUGUAUAUAUUAUUCAACGUAAUUUACUAUAUGAGUUCAUUAACACCUAUGACUAGCUCUUGGGUUCCAUGUUUCACUUCUAAGAACCAACAAACUAAAUAAUUGACACAAUUAACAAUUGCUUAGUAAAACUGAAUCUUUGGUCCAAAUUACACAAAAUAACUUCUCCUGGCUUAUGUGUAUCUAGUUACAGAAUGUUAUUUAGUACUUUGUACCCUGUAUGUCCUUAACAAGGGCUAUAAACCAUCAAGCUCAGGAAUAUAUCAAAGUCAGUUUGAAUUUUAUUUCCAUCUCUGAGAAAUCUAACUCUUGGGGCACCUGAGUGGCUCAGUUGGUUGAGCGUCCAACUUUGGUUCAGUUAUGAUCUUGCAGUUCAAGAGUUCAAGCCCUGCAUUAGACUCUGUGCUGACAGCUCAGAGCCUGGAGCCUGCUUCAGAUUCUGUGUCUCCCUCUCUCUGCUCCUCUCCUGCCCGUUCUCUCCCUCUCUCAAAAAUAAAAAUAAACAUUUAAAAAUAUAACUCUUAACAUUUGGAACUCUUAAAAUCUCUAUGGGCCGGCUCUGCAGGAGAAGCCACAUUCACACAUACAUCCCCAAAUUUGCAUAUAACUUCCUGAGUCCAGACACCUUCCUGAGGCUGGUCAUGGCAGGAUAACUGUAUCCCUACCAAUGGCCAGACUUGGGUGUUGAUAGACCUUGACACAUUACUGUCCUCUCCAGGCUCUGGUAAUAGAUUCCCUCCUGCUCCCUCACAUCAGGGCUGGUAACAGCUAUUCCCAGCUGCACCAUCCUUUGAGCCACACUAUCCUUUGUUGUCCCUUUAAUCCUGACCACCUCUUUGUAAAUUCAGAGAAUUUACCCCUUCAGUAAUUCUCUCCGUUCUCCCAUUUAAUUGUGCCAUCCGAUUCCUGCUGGGGCCCAGUAUUACAACCUCCAAAAUACAUCUGGGGACCCAAAACCAUUAUGAAAGACACUGACUUAAGAAACUUCAUUCCAUGUGAAGAUCUUCCGAUUGCAAUUUUUAAAAAUUUUUUUAAUGUUUAUUUAUUUUUGAAAGAGAGAGCGUGCAAGCAUGGGAGGGGCAGAAAGAGAGAGGACGACACAGAAUUUGAAGCAGGCUCCAGGCUCUGAGCUGUCAGCACAGAGCCUGAUGCGGGGCUCAAACCCACGAGCCAUGAGAUCAUGACCUGAGCCGAAGUUGGACACUUGACCAACUGAGCCACCCUGGUGCCCCCGGAUUGCAAUUUUUUACUGCAGAAUAGAAGUUAGUAUUUUUCUUCUUAACUGGUAGGAUACUUUUUAAACAAUAAUCUUCUCUACAAGAAUGUUUAUUAUUACAUGUAAAAAUUCUCAUGGAAUUCUCCAGGGCUUGCAGCUUGAGAAACAUGGUGCUUGACUUAUUUUCCUAGCUGGCUGCUGGGCAUCACAUGUAGGAAAGAAUUGAAAGCCUGAAUUAAAGACAGAUAAAUGGCUUCUGUUGCUUGCCUCCCAGCUACAUGUCCCGUCAUCCUGUCAUGAAAGGAAAUUAAAAUGCUCUGACACAUACUGAGUUUCAUAAAGCCACGGUGUUCCUCUACAGGAUCCUGUGUGCCUGUGGAAGUCAAUACCACAAACAGGAUUUUUGAGGAUUUGAUCUACAAUCUUCAUUUCAGAAUUAGAGCAAAGUAAACAAAGAAAAAUAUUUCGUUAUUGGGGUCUCUCUCCCUUUUAAAAAAUAAAUGAACUUCAUAAAUGUUUUGUUCCUCAGUCCUUCAGGACUUUUUCUAUCUUCCAGGAAUCCUAAAAUAAUAGCCAGUGGCUCUGGCAUCUGAUGUCUCCCAAGAUAAAUAACUGAAAUACUUAUAAUUUGCAACCUGCUUCAUUAUUCACUCCUCAACCGUUCUCAUUUCUGGUUUGCCUUUUUUGCUCCCCCUAAAGAGGUAUCAUUCAAACCAGAAUGGAUUUAUGAUUUGUUUUUCUAAACACUGAGCAUCACAAUUUUCACUGGAAAACAAAAGCCCACAAUUAAACCACUUUUUUUCCCUGAAACCUUAUAAAAGUAACAUUUAAGUUAUGUUUAAGUAUAAAAUAAUUUUAAAAUCAUCAGGCAAACAACCUAGAAACCAAUAUUAUAUAUUUUGUAGAGAAUUACUCAAGAAUUAGCUACAGGGGCGCCUGGGUGUCUCAGUCCGUUAAGCGACCGACUUCGGCUCAGGUCAUGUUCUUGGGGUUCCUGAGUUUCAAGCCCUGCAUCAGGCACUGUGCCCCUCCCCUGCUCAUGCUCUCUGUCUCUCAAAAAUUAAUAAACGUUAAAGAAAAAAGAAUUAGCUACAAAAUGUAGUGAUUUAGGAUUGUACAUAUUUUUUCUAAAUUUCUAAAUUUUCUUGGAAAAGCCAUUACUGUCUACAGUAGCUUAAUCAUUACCAUCACGAAACACUGUGGGCAUUCCAGAGUUAGAGAAAUCAUCUGAGUAAUGUGAUUUUGCCCCAUGCCCUAUUAGAACACGAAGAAUAAAUUAUCUAACAUUUAGAUUCUUUUUAUUUGCAUAUCACUUCUUUCUUAUUGAAGAAAGAGAGUGUGUACACAAGCAGAAGAGAGGGGGACAAAGAGAGAGAGAAUCUCUCUCUUUUGAUCGUGAGGCUCCAUCUCAUGACCCUGGGAUCAUAAUCUGAGCCAAAAUCAAGAGUCGGACAUUCAACCAACUGAGCCACCCAGAUGCCUCUGCAUAUCACUUUAUCUUUCAUCUGAGUUUAAGGUCCUUUGCAUUCCCAUGUCUUCCCAACAUUGCAACCGACAAAAACCAAUGAAGAGGCAAACAAAAUGUUAUCUAUGUUCUACUUACUCUGGGUAAAUUAUCAGCUGUGGAAACCAGUCCACUACUCAGGUCUAUUUCUUACAUUUCAUUGCUCUAACUUCCCCUGUUUUCCACUGGACUCCAGAGGAGUUACCUGUUAUAGAACUGGUACCAUGAUUGAUUUAAAGUUGCAAUACCACAGACCUGCUCUAAGUAAAAAGCAAAUGAUGGACGAAAUAGAUUUAUAAGAACCUACUUUGUGCAAGUCACAGUGAUAGGUGUUGUGGGAGAACAAAAUACAGUAACUUCCCUAAGUAUAGCCUACUAAGUUUGCGGCACUAAGACAAAUGUGUACAUAGUUAUAAUUCAAAGGAUAAUCUGAGAGACUCCAAAAGAGAGGUAGAAAUAAAAGUGUUUUGAGGAGUCAACAGAGGGAAUGAUCAUAUGAAGCUGGAAGGAUGUGAAGGGGUUUCUUAGACAAGAUGGAUGUUUGAGAUGAGUUUUAUUUAAGGGCCAUAAUUUUGAAAGAGACUUUGGGGAGGGUGUUAUCAUUAAAAAUAAAAGCAUGAAAGAGGACAAAGAAGGAAAAUAUAGGACACAACCAGAAUAGUAGUGUCCUGUUUGGCUGGAUCUGGAAAGGUAACUUGGGGUUCUGUUAUAUUGGAUCCUACAAGUCAGGUUAAGGAGAUUGGGCUUUGAGCCUAGGCAAAGGGAGAUGAUCGAGAGGCAUAGAGCAGGACUGAUGAGGAGUCUUUUCGGGCUAAGUGGGAGGAGGGGGAGUACGAGAAAGAGAAGUACCAGUAACAAGAAACUGCGUCUGGGCAUGGAUGACCAAGACUUGACCGAUACAUUCCACAAUAUCCCAAGGUUGCAGGGAGGGCAGAGAUGGAUUAAAGACAAGCUGAGGCCCCCAAAGACAUCAUUUUCUUGUUAGACUAGUCAGGUCCCCUAUUGUGAAGGUCAGUGCCUUCAAAUUUUCACCUAAUAAGUUAAGCAGCUUACAUAUUUCAGAAUAAAAAUUCCCUUUUCAUGUGAAGAUGAUAUGUCUCCAAAGCCUUUCUUUUGCUAAAAGGCAAAAGAAAGUUCAAGCAUGAUGGAGCCAGAGUAACAGCUAUGGAAGAGAAUGGCAUCAAAAGGGCCGAUGAGGGAGAGAUGUCAGCCAUGGUCUUGGUAUCUGUGCAGAUAAAAUGUUUUCUGGUUUUGUGACUCAUAAAAAGUUAGUUUUCCCAGAAAGGAAAAAUGUAUAAAAUUCAAUAUAUUAAAAGUAAGGGUUCAAUGAAAUUCUGACACAUACUACAACAUGGAUAAACCUUGAAACAUAAUGCUACAUGAAAUAAGCCAGACACGAAAGGACAAAUACUGCAUGAUUCCUCUUAUCUGAGGUACCUAGAGUACCAAAUUUAUAGAGAAAGAGGGGGCGCCUGAGUGGCUCAGUCGGUUGCGCAUCUGACUUCGGCUCAGAUCAUGAUCUCGUGGUUCAUGAGUUCAAGCCGCACAUCAGGCUCUAUGCUGACAGCUCAGAGCCUGGAGCCUGCUUUGGAUUCUGUGUCUCCCUCCCUCUCUGCCCCUCCACCCCCCCCUCAAAAAUAAAUAAACAUUAAAAAAAUUAUAGAGAAAGAAAGUAGAACAGUGGCUACCAAGGCUGAGAGAAAGAAGACAGGAGAGUUAGUGUUUAAUGGGUACAGUUUCAGUUUGGGAUGAUGAAAAAUCUCUGAAGAUGUAUGAUGGUGAUGGUCUCACAAUAAAGUAAAUGUACAUGAUGCCACUGAAUUGGAUACUCAAAAAGGGUUACCAUGGUAUAUGUUAUGGCGUGUACAUUUUACUACGAUUUUUAAAGAGCAAUGGCUCAAUGAGGUCCAUAGUGUGGUUUUUAUAAAGCCAAAUUCUAAUUUACUGAUUUUUAGAGAGAAAGUUCACAUUAUGUGGCCUGAUAGAAUCAGGCUUGUAGGUUGGCCUUUCUACACAGGCCUCUGUUCCAAGAGAAGAGUUAUGGUCUCUAAGAAGUUAGCAUGGGGAGUUAGGAAUCAGAGCAAAGGAGUUGGGUAUGGUAAUGGCUACCAGGAGAGAGAUUAUUUUGCCUAAUGUUUUAAUCUCCAAUGUAGGAAGAUAGCUGCCAAGGAGGUUUGAAUCUUUGCAUUAGCCAGUCUGGGUACUCUUCCUCAAGAUAGCGUAGCAAACCAAGCUUAUCUUUCAAAGCACAGUUCAUCAUAGUCACAAAGGCAGUGAGAAAAUAUGACUAAUGCAUCAAUAGCUAUCAGAAAGAAUGAUUAAAUCUAAAACACUCACUAGAGAGAAGAGAAGAAGAGUGACAACAGGAAAUAUUUCUCCAGGAUCAAAGUCUGAUUUUAAAGUGAAAUGUUCCUGCAUCAACCUAAUAUGUGUUGCCCUUGGUAUAAAUGCUUUGGUGUCUCAAUGAGAGUAGAAGACCAAUUAAUAAAGUUAUUUAUCUUUUCAGGUUGACAUAGCACAUACGGACUCUGUAGGAUUGAGAUAUGCUACCAAAGAAGGAAAGAACCUGGUGUGAAGUAGAGGAAGGUGAUAAGAAAAAAAUAAAAGGAAAUACUGAGAAGGAAGAGAGACUGGUAAGGAAGGAAGAUAGUUGUGAAAUUAUAUUAUGUGAAGGAAGAAGUCUCCUGCGGUUCUGCAAGAUGGAGAGCUAGCAUACCUCAAAAGCACUGGAAACAUCUACGAAAGCUCCAUAAAAUAGUCUGGGAACAGAAUUAAAAUGUGCUUAAAAAAAAGAAAGGAAAGAAAAUUUAAAACUGGAGUGGUGAGGAGAAUAGAGAUUUGGAAUGGUGUUAGACUUUAUUAAGUUACUUGUGCAUAUUAAAAUAUAAAGGCUAUAUCGAAAGAAGGAAAAUAAAAUGCUGGAUUUCCAAAUAAUUAGAGGGGAAAAAAUAAAGGAAUAUCUGAUUAAUGUAAUAAAAAUAAAAAAAAGGAGAAAAAAAGAACAGAAAUCUCAUGGUAAAGGGAAUAGAAUGUAAGGUGACAGAAAUAAAUGUAACAGUAAUCACAGUAAAUAUAAAUCAACUCACCAGUUAAAAGGCAGAGGCUAUCAGAUUGAAAGGUAAAACAAAAUCCAGCUAGAUUCCAUUUAUGAGAGAACUUCUAAAAACAUAAUGACAUUGAAGGUUGACAUUAAAGCGACAGAAAAGAAUACCAGAUUUAUAUUUCCAAUAAGAUCGAGAACUAGGUAUAAAAAUCCCUCUGCCACCCCAGAACACUCAGAUCUGGACAAACCACUCAAAGAUACUUUAAAGUUUUGGGUUUUGUUUUUGUUUUAGUAAUCUCUAUGCCCAACAUAAGGCUUGAACUCGUGACCCCAAGAUCAUGAGUCCUAUGCUCUUCCAACAAAGCCAGCCAGGUGCCCCUCAAAGACACUUGAAAAUGUCUUAUUAUACUCACAAGAAAAUAGGGGAAACCCUUUGAAGACAGAAAAAGCAAAGAGAAAGCCCAGACCACAGAAGCAGAUGAACAAAAACACAGAAACUGAUGCUACCCCAGAUCAGGGGUCAACAACUACAGCCUGGGAGCCAAACUCAGCCUGCCUCCUGGGUUUGUAAAGUUUUAUUGGAACCUGGCGAGGCCCAGUGUUUACAUAUUGUCUGUCUCUGGCUUCUUUUGCACUGUAACAGCGGAACUAAGUCGUAUAGACGGAAAUCAUAUGACCCUCAAAGUGAAAAUAUUUAACUAUCUCUUUACAGAAAACGUUUGCAGGCCCUUGCUCCAGGGGUUCAAGAUAUGAGGAUUCAUGCCUGCUGGGUUUGGCAUAGGAUGAGGAGUGAAAACAGAAACCCAGGCCUUCAGUCUGUGCACAGUGAGGAAAGUUAAAUGGACACUUCUCCAAAAAAGUCAGACAACUGACAUGAGUCUACGUCUACGAAAUGAUGAGUUGAGGAUAAGGAAACCUGCCAGUUGCCCUGCUCUAGAUGGGAGUUACUCUGAAAUUGGCAGCCAUUGCUUAGACUGAACACUGCUUCAAAUGCCCCCCAUGAAAAGCAGCCCACUGGCUUAGAGGUCCACUUCAAGGGCACUUUCUCUGCACCUUCCAGCUUUACUCAAAAUGAGGUGUUAUCAACAUUUCCUCUCUGUUGUUUCUGUGCAUUUUUUC